GAUGAACGCUGGCGGCGUGCCUAAUACAUGCAAGUCGAACGAGGUGCUUUUGUAGCAAUACGAGAGUAUCCUAGUGGCGAACGGGUGAGUAACGCGUUGGUGACCUACCCCAAAGUGUGGGAUAAUAGUCCGAAAGGAUUGCUAAUACCGCAUGUGGUCUUCGGAUUUAGAAACUGAUGACUAAAAGGAGCAAUUCGCUUUGGGAGGGACCUGCGUCCAUCAGCUAGUUGGUGAGGUAAUGGCUCACCAAGGCUACGACGGGUAGGGGACCUGAGAGGGUGACCCCCCACAAAUGGAACUGAAACACGGUCCAUACACCUACGGGUGGCAGCAGUAGGGAAUAUUGCACAAUGGGCGAAAGCCUGAUGCAGCAACGCCGCGUGUGCGAUGAAGGCCUUCGGUCGUAAAGCACUUUCUGGGAGAUGAGCAAGGACAGUAUCUCAGGAAUAAGUCUCGGCUAACUACGUGCCAGCAGCCGCGGU
Molecule: ribosomal RNA, 482 nt
Filed under: uncultured bacterium
Lineage: Bacteria
Description: bacterial SSU rRNA
Rfam family: Bacterial small subunit ribosomal RNA
Source: RNAcentral